AGUCUAACAUAUGUGCAAGUUAUUGGGAUGUAAACCUAAUAGCGUAAUUAACUUGACUAAUAAUGGGAUUAGUUUUUUAGCUAUUUAUAGCUAAUUAACACAAUCCCGGGGCGUUCUAUAUAGUUAUGUAUAAUGUAUAUUUAUAUUAUUUAUGCCUCUAACUGGAACGUACCUUGAGCAUAUAUGCUGUGACCCGAAAGAUGGUGAACUAUACUUGAUCAGGUUGAAGUCAGGGGAAACCCUGAUGGAAGACCGAAACAGUUCUGACGUGCAAAUCGAUUGUCAGAAUUGAGUAUAGGGGCGAAAGACCAAUCGAACCAUCUAGUAGCUGGUUCCUUCCGAAGUUUCCCUCAGGAUAGCUGGUGCAUUUUAAUAUUAUAUAAAAUAAUCUUAUCUGGUAAAGCGAAUGAUUAGAGGCCUUAGGGUCGAAACGAUCUUAACCUAUUCUCAAACUUUAAAUGGGUAAGAACCUUAACUUUCUUGAUAUGAAGUUCAAGGUUAUGAUAUAAUGUGCCCAGUGGGCCACUUUUGGUAAGCAGAACUGGCGCUGUGGGAUGAACCAAACGUAAUGUUACGGUGCCCAAAUUAACAACUCAUGCAGAUACCAUGAAAGGCGUUGGUUGCUUAAAACAGCAGGACGGUGAUCA
This 647-nucleotide ribosomal RNA is filed under the name Drosophila simulans. RNAcentral describes it as "eukaryotic LSU rRNA". It matches the Rfam family "Eukaryotic large subunit ribosomal RNA", at positions 672 to 1254 of the family's 3401-position model. Lineage: Eukaryota; Metazoa; Arthropoda; Insecta; Diptera; Drosophilidae. The record is from RNAcentral.